GACGAACGCUGGCGGCGUGCCUAAUACAUGCAAGUAGAACGCACAGUUUAUACCGUAGCUUGCUACACCAUAAACUGUGAGUUGCGAACGGGUGAGUAACGCGUAGGUAACCUGCCUGGUAGCGGGGGAUAACUAUUGGAAACGAUAGCUAAUACCGCAUAAUAUUGAUUAUUGCAUGAUAAUUGAUUGAAAGAUGCUAUUGCAUCACUACCAGAUGGACCUGCGUUGUAUUAGCUAGUAGGUGAGGUAACGGCUCACCUAGGCGACGAUACAUAGCCGACCUGAGAGGGUGAUCGGCCACACUGGGACUGAGACACGGCCCAGCCUCCUACGGGAGGCAGCAGUAGGGAAUCUUCGGCAAUGGACGAAAGUCUGACCGAGCAACGCCGCGUGAGUGAAGAAGGUUUUCGGAUCGUAAAGCUCUGUUGUAAGAGAAGAACGGGUGUGAGAGUGGAAAGUUCACACUGUGACGGUAUCUUACCAGAAAGGGACGGCUAACUACGUG
RNAcentral lists this ribosomal RNA (505 nucleotides) under uncultured bacterium. Its description in RNAcentral is "partial 16S ribosomal RNA". It matches the Rfam family "Bacterial small subunit ribosomal RNA", at positions 28 to 507 of the family's 1533-position model. The record is from RNAcentral.